CAUCACACAAAUAAAAAAAAAAAAGUACUUAUGCCAAAAUUUAAUUUGAAAAACGUCGACGUUGCACAAAACACAUUCCUUUUACAUGGCCUUAAUUAUUACAUCACCUUUUGCGGAAUUAAAACUUACUACAUCACUACAAGAUGUACAUCAUAAAAGGAAUAAUCUACAGAAAUGCUGCACACAUCGAACCCGUUUUUCCAAAUUUAAAUUUUGUUAAAAAAAAACACCGAAAUUACAUAAGUACUUAUAUGCCAAAAUAAAUACACAAUCACAUGCUACAUAAGCAUUUUUAAAUC
RNAcentral lists this long non-coding RNA (299 nucleotides) under Ananas comosus (pineapple). RNAcentral describes it as "long non-coding RNA (ACOM_LNC029488)". The record is from RNAcentral. Lineage: Eukaryota; Viridiplantae; Streptophyta; Magnoliopsida; Poales; Bromeliaceae.